UAAAGCGAAUGAUUAGAGGCAUUGGGGUCGAAACGGCCUCAACCUAUUCUCAAACUUUAAAUGGGUGAGAUCUCCGGCUUGCUUGAACGUGAAGCCGCGAGAUUUCGGAUCAGAGUGCCAAGUGGGCCACUUUUGGUAAGCAGAACUGGCGCUGUGGGAUGAACCAAACGCAGAGUUAAAGCGCCAAAAUCGACGCUUAUGGGAUACCAUGAAAGGCGUUGGUAACUUAAGACAGCAGGACGGUGGCCAUGGAAGUCGGAAUCCGCCAAGGAGUGUGUAACAACUCACCUGCCGAAGUUACUAGCCCUGAAAAUGGAUGGCGCUGAAGCGUCGUGCUUAUACUCUGCCGUCAGCGGCAUGUGCGGCGCGCGCGUCCGCAAGGGCGCGCGUGUCAUGAAGCUCUGACGAGUAGGAGGGUCGCGGCGGUGCGCGCAGAAGGACCGGGCGCGAGCCCGUCUGGAGCCGCCGUCGGUGCAGAUCUUGGUGGUAGUAGCAAAUACUCCAGCGAGGCCCUGGAGGACUGACGUGGAGAAGGGUUUCGUGUGAACAGCCGUUGCACACGAGUCAGUCGAUCCUAAGCCCUAGGCGAAAGCCGAUGUCGAUGUGGUGUUUUUCCUGAGAGGAAGAGCGACACACCCGUCGGGCGAAAGGGAAUCCGGUUCCUAUUCCGGAACCCGGCAGCGGAACCGCCAUUACGUCGGGCCCUCGCAAGAGAGUUCGUCGGGGUAACCCAAAAGGACCUGGAGACGCCGUCGGGAGAUCCGGGAAGAGUUUUCUUUUCUGUAUAAGCGUUCGAGUUCCAUGGAAUCCUCUAGCAGGGAGAUAUGGUUUGGAGCGCGAAGAGCACCGCAGUUGCGGCGGUGUCCGGAUCUUCCCCUCGGACCUUGAAAAUCCAGGAGAGGGCCACGGGAGGCUCGCGCCGGCUCGUACCCAUAUCCGCAGCAG
This 945-nucleotide ribosomal RNA is filed under the name Aesalus asiaticus. RNAcentral describes it as "eukaryotic LSU rRNA". It matches the Rfam family "Eukaryotic large subunit ribosomal RNA", at positions 1009 to 1862 of the family's 3401-position model. Lineage: Eukaryota; Metazoa; Arthropoda; Insecta; Coleoptera; Lucanidae. The record is from RNAcentral.